RNAcentral lists this unclassified non-coding RNA (223 nucleotides) under uncultured Gammaproteobacteria bacterium. RNAcentral's name for it is "contains 16S-23S intergenic spacer region". The record is from RNAcentral. Lineage: Bacteria; Pseudomonadati; Pseudomonadota; Gammaproteobacteria.
UCCGGUUUGUCACCGGCAGUCUCAUUAGAGUGCCCAACUGAAUGUAGCAACUAAUGACAAGGGUUGCGCUCGUUGCGGGACUUAACCCAACAUCUCACGACACGAGCUGACGACAGCCAUGCAGCACCUGUGUUCCCGUUCCCUUUCGGGCACAGCCCCCUUUCAGGGGCCUCCAGGACAUGUCAAGGGUAGGUAAGGUGGGGAUGACGUAGAACGGUUGGUU